This is a non-coding RNA of Herpailurus yagouaroundi (jaguarundi), 706 nucleotides long. The record is from the annotation of a RefSeq genome assembly. NCBI's taxonomy places the organism in Eukaryota, Metazoa, Chordata, Mammalia, Carnivora, Felidae.
CUCUCACCAGUGCCUGCAGAUGCCUCAGGGAAGCAGAGCUCAGACCCUAACCUGCCCUCUGCCACCUAUCCAGUCAGUCUCCGUCCAGCAGGUGCAGCUGGGAGGUCACCCUGGGCUUCUCCCCACCAGCAGGGAAGCAGAACCAUGCUGGGUCCCCUCGCCCUCCUGUGUGCCCUCCUGUUUCCAGGUGGCGAGGCAGCGAUCAGUCUGACUCAGCAGGCUGUGGCCGUGGGGCGUGUGGGCAGCUCGGCCACCCUGUCCUGCCAAGACAGCGCCUCCGUCAGCUACAUUCACUGGUACCUCCACCAGGAGGGGACUACGCCCAAGAGGAUCCUCAUGCUGGACAUGUCAAGGUUACAUGUGCAGAGGUAUGGGGGCUUGGAAGUGGACAAAAUCGAUGCCAAGAAAGGCAAGGAAAGCAACAGCUGUGAACUGUCAGUGAAGAAGCUGCAGAAGAGCGACGAGGGCGUGUACUACUGUGCUGCCUGGGAAGCUCACAGCCCCGCGCGCUGCUCUGCUCCCUGAGCAAAAAGUCUCGCUCUCCCAGGGCGCUCCAAGCCCGGACCUACCAGGGUUGCUGGGUCCCUGGGGCUUCCUGGGGUCAACGAACUGUGCUGGACUGGUGAUUUAAGAAUCUGACCAUCUCCAAUGAAGAAUGCGGGAAUAAAAUAUCGUGCAAAUAAUUUCAAGGCCGAGAGACUCUCUG